AGCGGCGGAUGGGUGAGUAACACGUGGGGAACCUGCCCCUAAGUCUGGGAUACCAUUUGGAAACAGGUGCUAAUACCGGAUAAUAAAGCAGAUCGCAUGAUCAGCUUUUGAAAGGCGGCGUAAGCUGUCGCUAAGGGAUGGCCCCGCGGUGCAUUAGCUAGUUGGUAAGGUAACGGCUUACCAAGGCGACGAUGCAUAGCCGAGUUGAGAGACUGAUCGGCCACAUUGGGACUGAGACACGGCCCAAACUCCUACGGGAGGCAGCAGUAGGGAAUCUUCCACAAUGGACGCAAGUCUGAUGGAGCAACGCCGCGUGAGUGAAGAAGGUUUUCGGAUCGUAAAGCUCUGUUGUUGGUGAAGAAGGAUAGAGGUAGUAACUGGCCUUUAUUUGACGGUAAUCAACCAGAAAGUCACGGCUAACUACGUGCCAGCAGCCGCGGUAAUACGUAGGAGGCAAGCGUUGUCCGGAUUUAUUGGGCGUAAAGCGAGCGCAGGCGGAAAAAUAAGUCUAAUGUGAAAGCCCUCGGCUUAACCGAGGAACUGCAUCGGAAACUGUUUUUCUUGAGUGCAGAGGAGGAGAGUGGAACUCCAUGUGUAGCGGUGGAAUGCGUAGAUAUAUGGAAGAACACCAGUGGCGAAAGCGGCUCUCUGGUCUGCAACUGAUGCUGAGGCUCGAAAGCAUGGGUAGCGAACAGGAUUAGAUACCCUGGGUAGUCCAUGCC
Molecule: ribosomal RNA, 722 nt
Filed under: uncultured bacterium
Lineage: Bacteria
Description: bacterial SSU rRNA
Rfam family: Bacterial small subunit ribosomal RNA
Source: RNAcentral